AGAGAGAGACAUGCGCGCAUAUCAAUAAGCGGAGGAAAAGAAACUAACUAGGAUUCCCUCAGUAACGGCGAGUGAAGCGGGAAGAGCUCAAAUUUGAAAUCUUCAAGGUUCUACCUUGACGAAUUGUAGUUUAAAGAAGUGUUUUCUGUUGGAGUUUUGGUAAAAGUUCUUUGGAAUAGGACAUCAUAGAGGGUGAGAAUCCCGUAUUUGACCAUUAUUUCCAGCUUUGUGAUACACUUUCAAAGAGUCGGAUUGUUUGGGAAUGCAGUCCAAAAUGGGUGGUAAAUUUCAUCUAAAGUUAAAUACUGGCGAGAGACCGAUAGCGAACAAGUACCGUGAGGGAAAGAUGAAAAGAACUUUGAAAAGAGAGUUAAACAGUACGUGAAAUUGUCAAAAGGGAAGCGUUUGACACCAGUGUUGUUUUCUCGAAAAUCAAUUAAAAAAGGCAGGAUUUUGUGUUGUAUUGACUUUAUCAGCUUUCUGCACUCUUUUCUUGUCUUUUUUAAUGCACUUUUCGUUUAACAAGUCAACAUCAAUUUCUUUUGUUGUAAAAGGGUCAUUGGAAGGUGGCUUUCUUUUCGGAGAAAGUGUUUAUAGCCUUUGGCCUCUACAAUCGGAGAGAUUGAGGUCUGCAGCGUAGAUCCUUCGGGGUUAGAUACAUUUGUGCUAAGUUAUAGCCUUUCAUAGACAACUUGUUGACUAUGAUCAGUCAUGUAGCUUACUCGCUUAUGCUAUUUUACCUACGCUUAGGAUGUUGAUGUGAUACUGCGAGCA
This 774-nucleotide ribosomal RNA is filed under the name uncultured Neocallimastigales. RNAcentral describes it as "partial large subunit ribosomal RNA". It matches the Rfam family "Eukaryotic large subunit ribosomal RNA", at positions 23 to 644 of the family's 3401-position model. Lineage: Eukaryota; Fungi; Neocallimastigomycota; Neocallimastigomycetes; Neocallimastigales. The record is from RNAcentral.